GUCGGCAGCAUUGUUGCUCGCAGCAAGCUGUUCGAUAUCGGCUGUGUGCUCUUCUACAACGAGGCCGCUGGAGUGCGCGUGCGACCUGGGGAGCUGGUCCCCUUGGCGAGGCAUGCGCUUGCGGUGCCGCUGCACAUGCCGCUCACGAUUGAGCUUGACAUUCGUCAUGGUGGAUCCGGAGAUGAAAUUGUUAGAGGCGAGCUUGAGUUCAAAACUGCCAUCGACGGCCUGCAUACGGGACGUCUUGUUGGUGUCAAUGAUGCUGAAUUCGAGGUGACANNNNNNNNNNCGUGCCGCUGCACAUGCCGCUCACGAUUGAGCUUGACAUUCAUCAUGCUGGAUCCGGAGAUGAAAUUGUUAAAGGCGAGCUUGAGUUCAAAACUGCCAUCGACGGCCUCCAUACGGGACGUCUUGUUGGUGUCAAUGAUGCUGAAUUCGAGGUGACAAUCUUAUGGUCGGAGUACCCUUGGUAGACA
This 476-nucleotide long non-coding RNA is filed under the name Hordeum vulgare. RNAcentral's name for it is "long non-coding RNA (HVUL_LNC011208)". The record is from RNAcentral. Lineage: Eukaryota; Viridiplantae; Streptophyta; Magnoliopsida; Poales; Poaceae.